Ooceraea biroi (clonal raider ant) is the source of this 262-nucleotide long non-coding RNA. RefSeq lists it as uncharacterized. NCBI's taxonomy places the organism in Eukaryota, Metazoa, Arthropoda, Insecta, Hymenoptera, Formicidae. The record is from RefSeq and is a predicted model, not a curated record.
CUUCAACAAUAAGAUAAAAGAGGAAGAAAGGAGAACUGACAUUUACAUAUCUUGCAAUUUCAGGUAUGAUAUCAUGUUUGCUCAUGAGGAUAUUACAUCGCUCUCGUGAAGCUAAUAUGCUGCAGCCUAUGAUCUAGAUUUCCAAUGUACAUACAGACAAUGACUAGUCGUGAGUGUCUGAUAAUGCCGUGAUCAACAAUGCGUGUCGAAUGUAUCGGAAUUCCGAAGAUCGUGCUACGGGGGAGAGAGAGAGAGAGAGAGA